Molecule: unclassified non-coding RNA, 983 nt
Filed under: Byssocorticium atrovirens
Lineage: Eukaryota; Fungi; Basidiomycota; Agaricomycetes; Atheliales; Atheliaceae
Description: sequence contains 18S rRNA gene, ITS1, 5.8S rRNA gene, ITS2, 28S rRNA gene
Rfam family: Eukaryotic large subunit ribosomal RNA (bases 567-983)
Source: RNAcentral
UAGGUGAACCUGCGGAAGGAUCAUUAUCGAAUUAUAAGCAAAGGUUGUUGCUGGCCUCCUCGGGGGGCAUGUGCACGCCCGAGCUCUUAAUCCACUUACACCUGUGAACCCAAAAGUGGGGGUCGUCCCUUGGGGUGAUUCUCAUGUCUUUCAUAUACUCUUAUGCAUGUCUCGGAAUGUCUUUAUGUUGCCUAAGCGCAAUUAUAAUACAACUUUCAACAACGGAUCUCUUGGCUCUCGCAUCGAUGAAGAACGCAGCGAAAUGCGAUAAGUAAUGUGAAUUGCAGAUUUUCAGUGAAUCAUCGAAUCUUUGAACGCACCUUGCGCUCCUUGGUAUUCCGAGGAGCAUGCCUGUUUGAGUGUCAUUAAAUUCUCAACUUCACUGAUUUGCUUCGAGUGAAGCUUGGACUUUGGAGCGUGCUGGCCCUCGAUUGGGUCGGCUCCUCUUUAAAUGCAGCAGCGGAGUCUUCUUUGACUUUUGUGCCAUCGGUGUGAUAAUCAUGUUGCCCCGUGGGCCCUGGGUCUCAGUCCGCUUACAAUCGUCUUCGGACAGCUUAUGAAACGCUUGACCUCAAAUCAGGUAGGACUACCCGCUGAACUUAAGCAUAUCAAUAAGCGGAGGAAAAGAAACUAACAAGGAUUCCCCUAGUAACUGCGAGUGAAGCGGGAAAAGCUCAAAUUUAAAAUCUGGCGGUCCCUGGCCGUCCGAGUUGUAAUCUGGAGAAGCGUUUUCUGCGUUGGACCGUGUACAAGUUUUCUGGAACGAAACGUCAUAGAGGGUGAGAAUCCCGUCUUUGACACGGACCGCCAAUGCUCUGUGAUACGCUCUCGAAGAGUCGAGUUGUUUGGGAAUGCAGCUCAAAAUGGGUGGUAAAUUCCAUCUAAAGCUAAAUAUUGGCGAGAGACCGAUAGCGAACAAGUACCGUGAGGGAAAGAUGAAAAGCACUUUGGAAAGAGAGUUAAACAGUACGUGAAAUUGUUGA